Long non-coding RNA from Aethalodelphis obliquidens (Pacific white-sided dolphin), 143 nucleotides. RefSeq lists it as uncharacterized. The transcript has 3 exons. Lineage: Eukaryota; Metazoa; Chordata; Mammalia; Artiodactyla; Delphinidae. The record is from RefSeq and is a predicted model, not a curated record.
GCGUGUGACGGCAGCAGGUAGGAGUGAGCCGCUGGUGCGGUGAUGAGCAGGAAAGGGAGGGCAGCGGCUGUUGGCCUGUGAACCUAGGCAAGAACGACCAGCCAACACAAUCCAGACCAAGGUCCGGCUGGAAGAGCCCAGGG